AGUUAGUGCCUUCAGUGGGUGCCUUCAGUUGGUGGCAUUUGGUUGCCUUUCCUGGGGACAGGUGGCAGGUGCUCAGCUCUGCAGGGUGGGGGCAAUUGAAGGCCCAAGCUGCCCGAGAAGAGCGGAGUUGCCCCAUGGGGACCACGCUGGCCUGUAGCAUGUGCACCAAAGCCAGCCCCAGGCAGGGCCCCCACAGGGCUUCUGCGGAGCCAUCCUGAGGCUUUGACAUCUAUGAGUGGGCGGCCAGCAAAGGCGCAGGCCCCAGCACAGAGGAGCAGAGGCGGCCGGAACACCCUGUCCCUUGAUACCAGCCCCAAGCAGAGCCACCUCAGGAUAAGGUGUUUGGAGCCGUCCUGCAGCUCUGAGAUCCACGAGGUGGCGGUGGGAGUAGCACCAGACUCCACUGAUUUGGAGUCUGCCCUGUCUGAUUCAGGAGACAUGACUAGCAGCACAUCGGCACCAGAAGACGCCAGAAGAGACAGGGUUUCACUGUGUUGCCCAGGCUGGUCUCAAACCCCUGGCCUCAAGUGAUUCACUCACGUUGGCCUCCCGCUUUGUUGGGAUGACAGGCAAGAACCACCACACCUGGCCUUGGGAGCUGCUCCUGCUUUGUGUGUUUUGGCUGGUCUUCCUGCACAGCUGUCGGGAGAGGAGCGGAAGACCUUCUGGUGUGGGCUGGGCAGCAAUUCACUUGAAGGAGAAACAGCCCCGGUGUGGAGAGGCGGCCAUCCUUGGCGGGAUCCUUUCUAAGGAGCCGAGAAAUCAACGUAGAGCUUCCUCUGUCUGAUUCUCUAACAACUGCAGACCUUCCAUGAGUCAAGCUUUGUGUCAAAAGGACAAAUAAAAAGGACCUAUAAAAGGCAUCACCAAGCCCAAUGGACAGAUGCCCCAGGCUGCACAUUCUGUCAGUGCUGUUCUGGAAAAGGCCCAAACACAUGCUGAAACAUCGAAGGAUAAGAAGCCAGCCCUCGGGAACCGGCAGGAGCACUCUGGGCCCCGCACGGCCCCAAGUCCAGCCUGCCCCGCCUCCUCUGGUGCAGAGGUCCAGGGAUACCAGCAGCAGCCCCGCCACGCCCCUCCAAGGCCAAGAACACAGGCGGCAGGGGCUUCCCCUCCCUGCCAGACUACUUCCUGCCGCCACAGCCACCACCCUUGGACGACCCAGAGCUCCCGCCGCCCCUGGACUUCGUGCUCCCUCCCCCCGCGGUCGCCAAGAGGCCUCCUAAUGCCCCACCCCCGCAAGAGACACGAAGCAUCAAUGUUCAGAA
Molecule: long non-coding RNA, 1268 nt
Filed under: Homo sapiens (human)
Lineage: Eukaryota; Metazoa; Chordata; Mammalia; Primates; Hominidae
Description: family with sequence similarity 238 member C
Source: RNAcentral